Oryctolagus cuniculus (rabbit) is the source of this 776-nucleotide non-coding RNA. The record is from RefSeq and is a predicted model, not a curated record. NCBI's taxonomy places the organism in Eukaryota, Metazoa, Chordata, Mammalia, Lagomorpha, Leporidae.
CAUGGGAACCCAUGCCUCUACCUCAUACUUGGCCAUGCUCAUCUCUUCUAUCUGAAGUGGGGGGCCAUAUCCUAGGAAUGAUCCCUUAACCUGAUGCCCCUUCAGGUAGAUGGUUUCAGAAGUGAACCAAAUUGAAAGGACAGAGAAUUGGAGAAUUGUCUGCAGAGAAUUGGAUCAGGAAAAAAACAGAGGAGAUAAUGAAGAGAGGAAAAAGAGGAAGAGAAGUGAGGAAGAAGAUGGAAAAGGCAAAGGGAGCAUACAGCAACAAAGCAAAUGUCUAAAAGUUUAACAAUUAUUCCAGCUGAAGAAUAUAGAGAAGAAAACCAAAAGAAACCAUUAAGAAAGGGAACUAACUUUUGAAAUCAUUGGAUCGUAAUAAAUGCUAAUAUCACUUCCUGGUUGGAUGCCGCUGUCAACCCGGACCUGGGAAAAAGAAAGAGAACACUGAGAGUAGCUUCAUAUUGUGCAACUUUUUAAUCACAAAUUUAAUCUCCACGGACCACGGAGGAAACAGGAAGAAGAAUUUCAAUCUUGAAUAACAUUCCCACAUCUGGAAAAUAGGAAAACAGCCUAAACACACACAGAGACCAAACGAUCCUGAUCCAUCACCACGUAGGUCAACAUACUUCUUGCUCUCCAGUGAAGAAACAGCAAAAAACAAGAAACAAAACCACCGCUAGGCUGCACCCACGACUAUACGAGGGUGCUGCUUCCACGUGCACGACAGCUCGGAGGACGCCCCCUGCCCCCUCGGAGGCACCCACCAGACCCUCCUG